UCUUCUCUUCUCUAAAUCUCUGUGUUAGGGCAUGGUGGCGGUGUCCGGCAGCCUGUCUGUCCUCCUCGACUCCAUCCUGUGUGCUCUGGGCCCGCUGACCUGUCUCACUGCUCAGAUACCGCAACUCAACGGCUGCCCUCGAAACGUCCUGUCUAAUACGUUGGACAACAUCGCCUACAUCAUGCCGGGGCUUUGAGUGAAGGAUAAUCGAAAUUUGACGUCAGAAAUCCUCCGAUAUGACCCUCUGAUUUUAAUUUAAACAACUCUUAUCUUAGCCGCUGAAAAGCCGGAUAUUUUUUAGCGUCAACGUGUUUUUAAAGUGUAUUUUUGUAAACCUUGUUCUCUUAAUUUUCGAUUUAUUUUUUUAAAACAUUUUACUGAGCAUGUUGAUUUCCGAGCUUAGUUUUAAUGUUACUGUACAGCAGUGGUUCUCAAAGUAAAAAAAAAAAAUU
Molecule: long non-coding RNA, 452 nt
Organism: Notothenia coriiceps (black rockcod)
Lineage: Eukaryota; Metazoa; Chordata; Actinopteri; Perciformes; Nototheniidae
Exons: 2
Source: RefSeq, a predicted model, not a curated record